RNAcentral lists this transfer RNA (75 nucleotides) under uncultured Paraburkholderia sp. RNAcentral's name for it is "tRNA-Val-CAC". It matches the Rfam family "tRNA". From Rfam's summary of the family: Transfer RNA (tRNA) molecules are approximately 80 nucleotides in length. Lineage: Bacteria; Pseudomonadati; Pseudomonadota; Betaproteobacteria; Burkholderiales; Burkholderiaceae. The record is from RNAcentral.
GGGUGGUUAGCUCAGCGGUAGAGCACUGCCUUCACACGGCAGGGGUCGCUGGUUCGAUCCCAGUACUACCCACCA